AAGUCGUAACAAGGUUUCCGUAGGUGAACCUGCGGAAGGAUCAUUAACACGUAUCCAACGUUAAAGCCCCCAGUGCGCUCGCACUUUCUUAGAAAAGGUAGCAAUCCCUGGUAAAUCAUUGCCGAACAGUUUUGAUUCAGGGACUUCUGCGUAGACUGUGCUUGAGCGUGAGGCAAGUGGCCUGGCAUUCCUCUGCUGGUGACACUUUCAGACGCAGUCACGAUCGCUAGAGGCCGACACGGCCGGCGACCGGGUCACUGGGCGCGAGCCCCCCUCGUCACCUUUGCAUGAAAACGGGCCUGCGCUUAAUUGUGCGGCCACCAAACUCGAACAACUGUUAAAAUGGAUAUCUUGGUUCUC
RNAcentral lists this unclassified non-coding RNA (360 nucleotides) under fungal sp. Its description in RNAcentral is "partial internal transcribed spacer region". The stretch from base 1 to 46 matches the Rfam family "Eukaryotic small subunit ribosomal RNA", at positions 1786 to 1831 of the family's 1831-position model. Lineage: Eukaryota; Fungi. The record is from RNAcentral.